This is a long non-coding RNA of Mus musculus (house mouse), 3074 nucleotides long. RefSeq annotates it as predicted gene, 32543. Lineage: Eukaryota; Metazoa; Chordata; Mammalia; Rodentia; Muridae. The transcript has 5 exons. The record is from RefSeq and is a predicted model, not a curated record.
AGAGGGCCAAAGAAGGGCUGGAGGCCCAUCCCUCUUCUAUCAGGUGCUACAUUCCUUGUUUCAGGGCCUGUGGAGAAAAGCCGAGAGUUCUAGGAAAAUGGUUGGGAGUCCCAAUAAGGGAACCGAAACAACAGGAGCCUAGGAAAGAAAUGACCAGGGAGAGAGAAUAGUCUCUCCUUAGGUUAAAAGAUCUCAGAAGGAUCUGAAAUAGUUCCUGGGCAGAUGUACAGCUGCAACUCACUGGGAGCUCAAGGUGGUCUAGCCCAGACUACCCACUACACAGAAAGCUUCACCGUUUGCUUAAAUAUUGAUCAUAUAUGGGAUCAUCACUGCUUGGAAAUAAGCCCGAGGAGCCACAGCUAUGGUCAAGUGUCAAUAAGGGGUGGAUCCAAACCUUGGAGACAACCAGAAGUUUAGACACUGGAUUUUUUCCACAGCAUAGAGGGCCACCACUGAGCAGAUAUCACAGAGCUGGAGAAGCAAACAAGAGCUCUGCCACAAACAAACAGACAACAUGGACUAAACAUGAAAUCAUCAGGUGACAGAAGAAAAUCUUCAUGGUUCAAAGCCGCGUUGAGGAGGUAUUGGGGGAACUGAGAAGGGGCUGAGGUUCCGAAACAGUGUCAGUGGCUCCUUUAUUGCUGGAGUUGGACCUAAUGCACGUAUGUGUUAACUCAGUGUAUGUUACCACCUUUUUGUCUAUGCAGGUCAGAGAACAUUGGAGUGCAUGAUGCCCACAUAUGUGCAGUUAUCCAGGAAUACAGAUUACCCAAGGGAAGGUCGUUGCCUAUUUUAAAACUUUGACCUCAUUACUGAGAAAAAACAGAAGAAGAGAACUAUUUGCUAAGGAGAGUUAGCAGCUGAUGGAGCUUCGAAGAUGUUCUAGGAAGUGCAACGUAACAAGAGUAGGGAUCAGAUACUAGAGGCAGUGAUGGGCAGGUAGGAAGGGGUCAAAGCCUUUCAUUAUUGAAUUCAGCAAUUUCAUCAUGGUUCUUAUACAGGUGCCUACUACCUAUGACUUACUUAGUUCUUUACUUCUUCUCUCUUUGGUGGUUAUUCAGCUAAACCACAAAGCUUAAAGUACUUAUGGGCUCAGUAUAAAGACGGGAAGGAAGUGAGCUGCAGCAUAGGCCACCAUGCCUCAAUCCUUCUCUCCCAGAGAGAGAGAACUGCAGGGAUCGAGAGGACUUGCAGCCAAGUUGUAAAGAAAUCUAAAGCUGGACAAAAUCAUGAGUGGCUGGCAAAGAAGAAAAGACCAUGGGUGCAGCUGGACAUUUAGGGGAAGUUCUUGAGGCCAUGAAAGGGAAGUGAGCCUGGGUCCCCAAACAGAAGCUCUGUGGUCACUUGGGGCCACAUGAAAAAUGACUCCAAAGACCAGAUUAGAUACUGGGAUAGAGACUGUUCUUCAAGACUGACUAGAUAGAUACUGGAGUACGGACUAUGCCUGCCUUGCAAAUUGCAAAGGGCUUGUAGUUUUCUCAUUCCCAGAUUGAGUUAUUUUAGGCAAAGACAGCUUCUUCAAUUCUCUUCUACUCUGGCUCUAGAAAGGGAAUCUUCUGGGUCUUAGGAUGGAGGUAACAGGGCGGCCAUCCUGUUGGCUCACGAAGAGACAGGUAUGGCUACCAGCUUCUGGAAUGCUCAUCUCAGAUAUUUGCCUCACUCACAGUUUAUUAACAAAAUUAGCCCUCAUUAAUAAUCCUUUGAACUAGCAGAGCAGUCCUAGUUGAUUGAAAAUAAUUAUGAGCCUCUUUAGAUGAUUUAAACAGCACAUUUGGAUUUUCAUUUAUAUCAUCGAUUUGAUUGAACGAUAUAUAUGUGUACAAGGGUAUUUAUACGGCAUCUCUUAAAAGCAAUAAUAAACAGGGAUGGGGGGUUGCACACUGCUCUAAGUCUAAGGCAAGGGGAUCAAAGAAUGAUCUGGGUGCCAGUAUAAAUUAUGAAAGACGGGCUGUGACAGAGAUAAAGUUGCAUGGGGCAUAAAGGCUAAGCAGGCAGACAACCACUUACAAUGUCCUGAGCAUUGCAUCAGAGGACUGCACAUUCUGAUCAGCAUCAGGAAACAAGCAGUGUCAUUAAUCUGGAACAGAAAGAAUACACAGAUGUUUAAAAUGAUUUUUUCCCCUACUGACUCAGUCUCCUGCAUACUUGCAAAUUGAAGGUUGUAGAUUCAUAACCCCUGGGAUUCCCGCCCAAUGGGACAGGGUCCAGAAUUGUAUUUGUACCCAGUGACAUCCUUUUGGGUUCCAUCUCCUUUCUCUAAUCAGAAUAUAUAUUAAAAAGAGAGACGUAAAGCUUUGUCUCACCUUGGCUCUUCCAAGCCCAUUCUGUGAAGGAUCCAUUCAUUCAGCAAGAAUCCCAAACCUUCCUGCCACAAACGGGGGCAUCUCACAGGGAGCGCACAGGCCGCGUUCUUUGCGACUAUCAUUCAGUAUGGUGCAGCCUAAUUCAUAAAACACUGGUGCGAACGUGCUUCCACCUGGUUCAUUUGAAUCCGGUUUUGAUCCUUGUCCCCAUCUGGAUUGGCUGAACAAACUUCCAGUACUGGAGGAAAGAUUAUGCAAGCUUGGGAGUUUGUAACACUGUGAUUUUUUGUUUUAACACCACUGUGUAGGAAAAGAGCUCUCAUGGAGUGGUAAACCAGUUCAUUUUCUGGGGGCUGAAGGCUUCCUAGCAGGUCAGACACAAACCGAACACCAGGAUUGUGGCCAGUGUAAUCUGUAAGUCUGGUAGAUCAAUGCCUUCUUAAGCUGUCUUUUAUACCUAUCUACUCUCUCUCUAUGCCAUGAUUCUUGUUAGAUAUAAAGUUACUUAGGGAGGGGGUAAAAGGCAGAAUGGUCCAUCUCAGAUCUUGGAGGAUUUCCUAACAGGCUGUGCGCUCAGGUAAUGGCAGGUGACCUUUGGUCACGGUAGCACCAAGCCCCACGCAGUCCAGGAAAGGGCACUAGAAGCCCCUGCCUCGUUCUCUGGGAUCUGAAAAGUUCAUCCAUUUCCUCUGGUUUAUGCUGAAUCUCAUAGGGCUUGCCACCCCAUUAAACUCAUCUAUCUUUUUCCAAACCAUGAGCUCCCAGGGAAAA